UGGAUGUGUAGUGGGAAGUGAGGGAGUGAUUUUAGGAGUGAAUUAGGGGAUUAUGGGGGAGAAUAUCCAAAAUCUGAUCACUUUUUCCUUUUUUGAAAAAAAUGAGAGUCGUUUUUCUCUCCAUCUUUCUGAUGUUUUCUCUUCCCCAUCUCUACUGAAUCUUUUUUUAUUCUUUGUUUCUUAUUCGAUUAUCUUUUCUUUUCU
Molecule: long non-coding RNA, 204 nt
Filed under: Gossypium raimondii (Peruvian cotton)
Lineage: Eukaryota; Viridiplantae; Streptophyta; Magnoliopsida; Malvales; Malvaceae
Description: long non-coding RNA (GRAI_LNC009019)
Source: RNAcentral